UCGGGGAUCGUCUAAUGGUAGGACAACGGGUUUUGGUCCCGUCAAUCUGGGUUCAACUCCUAGUCCCCGAGCCA
RNAcentral lists this transfer RNA (74 nucleotides) under Candidatus Saccharimonadota bacterium. RNAcentral's name for it is "tRNA-Gln". It matches the Rfam family "tRNA". From Rfam's summary of the family: Transfer RNA (tRNA) molecules are approximately 80 nucleotides in length. Their secondary structure includes four short double-helical elements and three loops (D, anti-codon, and T loops). The record is from RNAcentral. Lineage: Bacteria; Candidatus Saccharimonadota.